UGGCGGCGUGCCUAAUACAUGCAAGUCGAACGCACAGCGAAAGGUGCUUGCACCUUUCAAGUGAGUGGCGAACGGGUGAGUAACACGUGGACAACCUGCCUCAAGGCUGGGGAUAACAUUUGGAAACAGAUGCUAAUACCGAAUAAAACUUAGUGUCGCAUGACACAAAGUUAAAAGGCGCUUCGGCGUCACCUAGAGAUGGAUCCGCGGUGCAUUAGUUAGUUGGUGGGGUAAAGGCCUACCAAGACAAUGAUGCAUAGCCGAGUUGAGAGACUGAUCGGCCACAUUGGGACUGAGACACGGCCCAAACUCCUACGGGAGGCUGCAGUAGGGAAUCUUCCACAAUGGGCGAAAGCCUGAUGGAGCAACGCCGCGUGUGUGAUGAAGGCUUUCGGGUCGUAAAGCACUGUUGUAUGGGAAGAACAGCUAGAAUAGGAAAUGAUUUUAGUUUGACGGUACCAUACCAGAAAGGGACGGCUAAAUACGUGCCAGCAGCCGCGG
Molecule: ribosomal RNA, 501 nt
Filed under: Leuconostoc sp. SM5
Lineage: Bacteria; Bacillati; Bacillota; Bacilli; Lactobacillales; Lactobacillaceae
Description: bacterial SSU rRNA
Rfam family: Bacterial small subunit ribosomal RNA
Source: RNAcentral